RNAcentral lists this non-coding RNA (30 nucleotides) under Mus musculus (house mouse). Lineage: Eukaryota; Metazoa; Chordata; Mammalia; Rodentia; Muridae. The record is from RNAcentral.
UAAAAAACAAAACCAGAAAAUGGUGAUCUU